This 74-nucleotide transfer RNA is filed under the name Parcubacteria group bacterium CG08_land_8_20_14_0_20_43_9. RNAcentral's name for it is "tRNA-Val". It matches the Rfam family "tRNA". Rfam says of the family: Transfer RNA (tRNA) molecules are approximately 80 nucleotides in length. Their secondary structure includes four short double-helical elements and three loops (D, anti-codon, and T loops). Further hydrogen bonds mediate the characteristic L-shaped molecular structure. tRNAs have two regions of fundamental functional importance: the anti-codon, which is responsible for specific mRNA codon recognition, and the 3' end, to which the tRNAs corresponding amino acid is attached (by aminoacyl-tRNA synthetases). tRNAs cope with the degeneracy of the genetic code in two manners: having more than one tRNA (with a specific anti-codon) for a particular amino acid; and 'wobble' base-pairing, i.e. permitting non-standard base-pairing at the 3rd anti-codon position. The record is from RNAcentral.
GGACGAUUAGCUCAGUUGGUUAGAGCGCUUCGUUUACAUCGAAGAGGCCGCAGGUUCGAGCCCUGCAUCGUCCA